Molecule: ribosomal RNA, 1359 nt
Filed under: uncultured bacterium
Lineage: Bacteria
Description: bacterial SSU rRNA
Rfam family: Bacterial small subunit ribosomal RNA
Source: RNAcentral
GAUGAACGCUGGCGGCGUGCUUAACACAUGCAAGUCGAACGAAGCACCUUGGACAGAUUCUUCGGAUGAAGUCCUUAGUGACUGAGUGGCGGACGGGUGAGUAACGCGUGGGUAACCUGCCUCAUACAGGGGGAUAACAGUUAGAAAUGGCUGCUAAUACCGCAUAAGCGCACAGUACCGCAUGGUACGGUGUGAAAAACUCCGGUGGUAUGAGAUGGACCCGCGUUGGAUUAGCUAGUUGGCAGGGUAACGGCCUACCAAGGCGACGAUCCAUAGCCGGCCUGAGAGGGUGGACGGCCACAUUGGGACUGAGACACGGCCCAGACUCCUACGGGAGGCAGCAGUGGGGAAUAUUGCACAAUGGGGGAAACCCUGAUGCAGCGACGCCGCGUGAGCGAAGAAGUAUUUCGGUAUGUAAAGCUCUAUCAGCAGGGAAGAAAAUGACGGUACCUGACUAAGAAGCCCCGGCUAACUACGUGCCAGCAGCCGCGGUAAUACGUAGGGGGCAAGCGUUAUCCGGAUUUACUGGGUGUAAAGGGAGCGUAGACGGAAUGGCAAGUCUGAUGUGAAAGGCCGGGGCUCAACCCCGGGACUGCAUUGGAAACUGUCAAUCUAGAGUACCGGAGGGGUAAGUGGAAUUCCUAGUGUAGCGGUGAAAUGCGUAGAUAUUAGGAGGAACACCAGUGGCGAAGGCGGCUUUCUGGACGGUAACUGACGCUGAGGCGCGAAAGCAUGGGGAGCAAACAGGAUUAGAUACCCUGGUAGUCCAUGCCGUAAAACGAUGGAUACUAGGUGUAGGAGGUAUCGACCCCUUUUUGUCCCGGAGUAAACACAAUAAGUAUCCCACCUGGGGAGUACGACCGCAAGGUUGAAACUCAAAGGAAUUGACGGGGGCCCGCACAAGCAGUGGAGUAUGUGGUUUAAUUCGAAGCAACGCGAAGAACCUUACCAGGGCUUGACAUCCCACGCAUAGUCUAGAGAUAGAUGAAAUCCUACGGGACGUGGAGACAGGUGGUGCAUGGUUGUCGUCAGCUCGUGUCGUGAGAUGUUGGGUUAAGUCCCGCAACGAGCGCAACCCCUAUUGCCAGUUACUAACAGUAAGAUGAGGACUCUGGCGAGACUGCCGGUGACAAAUCGGAGGAAGGUGGGGAUGACGUCAAAUCAUCAUGCCCCUUAUGUCCUGGGCUACACACGUACUACAAUGGCCGACAACAAAGUGAAGCGAAGCCGCGAGGCAGAGCGAAUCACAAAACUCGGUCCCAGUUCAGAUUGCAGGCUGAAACUCGCCUGUAUGAAGUCGGAAUUGCUAGUAAUCGCGGAUCAGCAUGCCGCGGUGAAUACGUUCCCGGGCCUUGUACA